CAGCCAGAACCCACGGCUCAUCAUAUCCCCUCUCCCGUUCUACGUUUCUCCCAGGCUCAUCUCGUCUCUGUCUCUCGAAAUAAUCGGCAUCGCCUACACCAGCCUUCAAUUGAUUGAUAUAUCAUCAAUUAUUGGGAAUCUUCUUCGUCAUUGCUCCAAGGUAGGUUGUAUAAGAUUUAACUCUUUUAGAAUUUUUUCUUCUCCAUUAUUUUUAUUGCUACCAUUGUUGCUAUUUUCCAGAAAGUUGUAUUGGGGAUUUCAUUAGACUGCAUUUGACUGAAAUUUUUACGAGUUUUGUGCUGGAGGGAAGAAGACUGAAACUUGGGCGUUGGGCGAACUUAUAUUUAGGUAAAUCAUAAUCCGUUAUAAUUCAUAUUUUUGUUGAUAAUUAGCAUCCUAUUUCGAUUUGAAGUUAGGAUUACUAGGUUAUGCUACAGUAGUAGUGGAAGAUUAGGUUUUUAUAUUUGAGACUAACCUUCAAUAUUGGAACUUUUAAUUAGUAAAUGGCAAAAUACAACCUUUUAAUCAGUGAGUUUGCAUUUGUAUUGGAC
This 551-nucleotide long non-coding RNA is filed under the name Olea europaea subsp. europaea. The record is from RNAcentral. Lineage: Eukaryota; Viridiplantae; Streptophyta; Magnoliopsida; Lamiales; Oleaceae.